UAGAUCAAUGAUAGUUAACUAGGUAGC
Molecule: small RNA, 27 nt
Filed under: Bombyx mori (domestic silkworm)
Lineage: Eukaryota; Metazoa; Arthropoda; Insecta; Lepidoptera; Bombycidae
Description: ovarian small RNA-6301
Source: RNAcentral